Molecule: long non-coding RNA, 856 nt
Filed under: Homo sapiens (human)
Lineage: Eukaryota; Metazoa; Chordata; Mammalia; Primates; Hominidae
Description: non-protein coding KCTD21-AS1:4
Source: RNAcentral
CCCGGGCCGGAAGGGCUCCUGCGCAGGCGUUUGUAGCCACUUUUAAGUUUUAUCAGCUAGUUCAUGCUUGCGUUGAAAGAGUGGUCGUUUGCGCUGGGUCAUCACUGUGUAGUAUUGGGGAUACUUAGGUGAGAAAAAAACUUAACGCUAGAGACGUUCACGCACUAGUGGAGAAGCCAGGAUUGUUGCCCUAGAGUUACAGUAGAUAAAAGUACCUCAGAGAACUGCGGGGGCUCCCAACCUGGACGCUUGCACCGGAGUAUUAAAUCCAGCUAGAGAAUGGCAUGUGCAAAGAUACAGAGCUUUUAGAAGUUGCCUGCAUUCCUUGGCCCCUUCCUCACAUCAUUCCAACCAACUUCCAUCCUUACAAUCGAUUACUUUCCUGUAAUAGCUACAGUCAAAUGGGCAGCUGAAGAUGAUGAUGAUGAUGAUCUUGACACCGAGAAGCAGAAGACCAAUGAAGAUGACCAGACAGCAAAAAAGGAUAAGUUAAAAGAAGGUAAAAGAAGGCCACUCGUACUUGCUGUCUCAGUAUCUAAAGGUGGUCACCUUCCAGUAGAGAGGCCCACCCACUGCAGACCGUGCCACCGAAGGUGACAUGCACUUUCUGCCACCCAUCCAAAACCGUAACGUGAAUCUGCAACAGGAGAGGAAAGAAGAACCAAAACUUCCAAGGCCUUGCAUUUUUUCUUAAAAGCAUUUUUUUUUUUUUUUGGAGAUGGAGUCUCACUCUAUUGCCUGGAGUGCAGUGGCGUAAUUUCGGCUCACUGAAGCCUCUGCUUCCCGGGUUUAAGAAAUUCUCUGCCUCAGCCUCCCAAGUAGCUGGGAUUACAGGCACAUGCCACCACACCUGUCU